RNAcentral lists this ribosomal RNA (492 nucleotides) under uncultured bacterium. RNAcentral describes it as "partial 16S ribosomal RNA". It matches the Rfam family "Bacterial small subunit ribosomal RNA", at positions 29 to 507 of the family's 1533-position model. The record is from RNAcentral.
AGUGAACGCUGGCGGUAGGCCUAACACAUGCAAGUCGAACGGCAGCACCGUAAGAGCUUGCUCUUACGGGUGGCGAGUGGCGGACGGGUGAGGAAUACAUCGGAAUCUACUUUUUCGUGGGGGAUAACGUAGGGAAACUUACGCUAAUACCGCAUACGACCUACGGGUGAAAGCAGGGGAUCUUCGGACCUUGCGCGAUUGAAUGAGCCGAUGUCGGAUUAGCUAGUUGGCGGGGGAAAGGCCCACCAAGGCGACGAUCCGUAGCUGGUCUGAGAGGAUGAUCAGCCACACUGGAACUGAGACACGGUCCAGACUCCUACGGGAGGCCGCAGUGGGGAAUAUUGGACAAUGGGCGCAAGCCUGAUCCAGCCAUACCGCGUGGGUGAAGAAGGCCUUCGGGUUGUAGAGCCCUUUUGUUGGGAAAGAAAAGCAGCAGGUUAAUACCCCGCUGUUCUGACGGUACCCAAAGAAUAAGCACCGGCUAACUUCGUG